This 380-nucleotide ribosomal RNA is filed under the name uncultured marine crenarchaeote. Its description in RNAcentral is "bacterial SSU rRNA". It matches the Rfam family "Archaeal small subunit ribosomal RNA", at positions 1 to 387 of the family's 1478-position model. The record is from RNAcentral. Lineage: Archaea; Thermoproteati; Thermoproteota.
UUCCGGUUGAUCCUGCCGGACCUGACUGCUAUCAGAUUGAUACUAAGCCAUGUUAGUCAUUGUAGUAAUACAAGGCAGACGGCUCAGUAACACGUAGUCAACCUAACUUAUGGACGGGGAUAGCCUCGGGAAACUGAGAAUAAUACCCGAUAGGUCAUGAUGCCUGGAAUGGUUUAUGACUCAAAUGAAUGUCGCCGUAGGAUGGGACUGCGAGCUAUCAGCUUGUUGGUGAGGUAAUGGCCCACCAAGGCUAUAACAGCUACGGGCUCUGAGAGGAGUAGCCCGGAGAUGGGUACUGAGACAAGGACCCAGGCCCUAUGGGGCGCAGCAGGCGAGAAAACUUUGCAAUGCGCGAAAGCUCGACAAGGUUAAUCUGAUUG